This 694-nucleotide ribosomal RNA is filed under the name uncultured bacterium. RNAcentral describes it as "bacterial SSU rRNA". It matches the Rfam family "Bacterial small subunit ribosomal RNA", at positions 94 to 786 of the family's 1533-position model. The record is from RNAcentral.
AGCGGCGGACGGGUGAGUAAUGCAUAGGAAACUGCCCAGUAGUGGGGGAUAGCCCGGGGAAACCCGGAUUAAUACCGCAUACGCCCUUCGGGGGAAAGCAGGGGAUCUUCGGACCUUGCGCUAUUGGAUGUGCCUAUGUCGGAUUAGCUAGUUGGUGGGGUAAGAGCCUACCAAGGCGACGAUCCGUAGCUGGUCUGAGAGGAUGAUCAGCCACAUCGGGACUGAGACACGGCCCGAACUCCUACGGGAGGCAGCAGUGGGGAAUAUUGGACAAUGGGGGCAACCCUGAUCCAGCCAUGCCGCGUGUGUGAAGAAGGCUUUCGGGUUGUAAAGCACUUUCAGUGAGGAGGAAAACCUUAAGUUUAAUACGCUUGAGGCUUGACGUUACUCACAGAAGAAGCACCGGCUAACUCCGUGCCAGCAGCCGCGGUAAUACGGAGGGUGCAAGCGUUAAUCGGAAUUACUGGGCGUAAAGCGCGCGUAGGUGGUUUGAUAAGCGAGAUGUGAAAGCCCCGGGCUCAACCUGGGAACGGCAUUUCGAACUGUCAGGCUAGAGUAUGGUAGAGGAGUGUGGAAUUUCCUGUGUAGCGGUGAAAUGCGUAGAUAUAGGAAGGAACACCCGUGGCGACGCGCACUCUGGACCAAUACUGACACUGAGUUGCGAAAGCGUGGGGAGCAAACAGGAUUAAUAGCU